GUAGUCUGCAACUCGACUACAUGAAGCCGGAAUCGCUAGUAAUCGCGGAUCAGAAUGCCGCGGUGAAUACGUUCCCGGGUCUUGUACACACCGCCCGUCACACCAUGGGAGCCGGAAAUGCCCGAAGUCAGUGACCCAACCAAUAAGGAGGGAGCUGCCGAAGGCAGGUCUGGUGACUGGGGUGAAGUCGUAACAAGGUAGC
This 202-nucleotide ribosomal RNA is filed under the name uncultured bacterium. RNAcentral's name for it is "partial 16S ribosomal RNA". It matches the Rfam family "Bacterial small subunit ribosomal RNA", at positions 1300 to 1500 of the family's 1533-position model. The record is from RNAcentral.